Molecule: long non-coding RNA, 252 nt
Organism: Carassius auratus (goldfish)
Lineage: Eukaryota; Metazoa; Chordata; Actinopteri; Cypriniformes; Cyprinidae
Exons: 3
Source: RefSeq, a predicted model, not a curated record
UGAAAACAUCCUGUCAAAAUGAGAGUCAUCAAGGAUCCAGCUUGUUCUUGAAACAUUGAAGUUUGCCCUCUGCAAGUGAACGACGCCUUGUGGUGCCAUCCCAGAGAGGUUCAUAAUCACUCUCACGGUCCUUUUCCUGGACUGUGCCCAGCUGGUGGAAUCACCUCCCAAUCUCAAUCCGAACUGAGAGUUUACUCAUUUUCAAGAAACAUCUUAAGACUCAUCUUUUUCACCAGAACUUAACCAACUAAU